GAUGAACGCUGGCGGCGUGCCUAAUACAUGCAAGUCGAGCGAACAGACGAGGAGCUUGCUCCUCUGACGUUAGCGGCGGACGGGUGAGUAACACGUGGAUAACCUACCUAUAAGACUGGGAUAACUUCGGGAAACCGGAGCUAAUACCGGAUAAUAUAUUGAACCGCAUGGUUCAAUAGUGAAAGACGGUUUUGCGGUCACUUAUAGAUGGAUCCGCGCCGCAUUAGCUAGUUGGGAAGGUAACGGCUUACCAAGGCAACGAUGCGUAGCAGAGCGGAGAGGGUGAUCGCCCACACUGGAACUGAGACGCGGUCCAUACGCCUGCGGGAGGCAGCAGUAGGGAAUCUUCCGCAAUGGGCGAAAGCCUGACGGAGCGACGCCGCGUGAGUGAUAAAGGUCUUCGGAUCGUAAAACUCGGUUAUUAGGGAAGAACAAAUGUGUAAGUAACUGUGCACGUCUUGACGGUACCUGGUCAGAAAGCCACGGCUAACUACGUG
RNAcentral lists this ribosomal RNA (497 nucleotides) under uncultured bacterium. RNAcentral's name for it is "partial 16S ribosomal RNA". It matches the Rfam family "Bacterial small subunit ribosomal RNA", at positions 28 to 507 of the family's 1533-position model. The record is from RNAcentral.